UCUCCCCGUGGACGUAGAUUUACCUCAGUAAAUCGAACCACGUAAAAUUUCCGUGUCGUAAUUUAUUUUUACGAGCAUUCAUCAUCAUCAAUAAUUCGCGGAUUCAUCAAUGCGCUUUGCACAAAAACAGCGGUGGUGGUAAUCAAUCGAUUUCCUACUCGCCGAACCGGUUGAACAUGAGGCGAUCUGCGAUGACGAAUUCUCUGGUGCGGAUCGGCACCGUGGAGGGAGAUCUGGUGAAGCGAGCCCUCGCGACUUUGAUUCGCCCGUCCUCCCACCAGCAGCGUCGCCGAGCCGAUUUCCGGCCGCGGCAGAGCCGGCUCUCGGUCAUGUCCAGCGCCGACGACAUCUGAAGGAGCAAGCCGAAUAUGCAGGUUUGGUUAUACUCGAAAAUCACCAGUCGCUUACGAUCCGCAGCGGCGACACCUGAGCAAUUUUUGGAACAGGGAAGCUGAUGUUUGUGUUGGUUGUACAUAUGAUUUCCAAAUGAAGAACGUAUUGGAUUUGAAACUAGAGCACUCUCGAUCUAAUUAAAAUGAAUCCAAUCGAAUUUCACAUAGCAAUGAGGAUGAAACUAUAAUUUGAAUCUAAAUCCAAGGAUCAAGAUGAUUGCGUGAUGAUUUAGUGUUUGGUGCUGGUUGAAAAUAUCACCAAUUCCGUUACGUGUAUCGUAUCGUUAUCCGUUGAAUCCGUUCGUCCGUUCCGUCGCUGUUCGUAUGAGGUAAGUUCCGUUCGGUCGUGUCAAUUUUACGUUCCGUCCGUCGGCUCGUAUGAGAUCUGAGGAGCAUUGCGUGCAAGUAUGGGGGAGUGAUUAUCGUGAAACUCGAAGGUCGAGGCCAUGGCUGAUCUUGAGACUAUUUUUUUCACCUCGGCUUUGGAAGAUGGAAAUUACUAAAAAUAGAUUUCUGCUGAUUUUACGGAAGUUGAUACCGGUGAUUGGACCAUAUAUUCCGAAAGUUACUGCGGGGACCAUAGUAAAAUCUAACAGAAAAUAUUCUCGAAUUAAAUAAAAAUAAAAAUAAAAAUAAAAAU
Salvia splendens (bonfire salvia) is the source of this 1032-nucleotide long non-coding RNA. RefSeq lists it as uncharacterized. The record is from RefSeq and is a predicted model, not a curated record. The transcript has 2 exons. Lineage: Eukaryota; Viridiplantae; Streptophyta; Magnoliopsida; Lamiales; Lamiaceae.